RNAcentral lists this ribosomal RNA (473 nucleotides) under uncultured bacterium. RNAcentral's name for it is "bacterial SSU rRNA". It matches the Rfam family "Bacterial small subunit ribosomal RNA", at positions 19 to 518 of the family's 1533-position model. The record is from RNAcentral.
CUGGCUCAGGAUUAACGCUGGCGGCGUGCCUAAUACAUGCAAGUCGAAUGGUAGCAAUACCAGUGGCGAACGGGUGAGUAACACGUAGGUAACCUGUCUUUAAGCCGAGGAUAACCAUUGGAAACGAUGGAUAAUACUGGAUAGGACAUUUGAAGGCAUCUUUAGAUGUUUAAAGAUUUAUCGACUUAGAGAGGGGCCUGCGGCGCAUUAGCUAGUUGGUGAGGUGAAGGCUUACCAAGGCGAUGAUGCGUAGCCGGACUGAGAGGUUGAACGGCCACAAUGGAACUGAGAACGGUCCAUACUCCUACGGGAGGCAGCAGUAGGGAAUUUUCGGCAAUGGGCGGAAGCCUGACCGAGCAACGCCGCGUGAACGAAGAAGUAUUUCGGUAUGUAAAGUUCUUUUAUUAGGGACGAAAAGACAGAUUGACGGUACCUAAUGAAUAAGCUCCGGCUAACUACGUGCCAGCCGCCGC